This 371-nucleotide ribosomal RNA is filed under the name uncultured Desulfobulbus sp. RNAcentral describes it as "bacterial SSU rRNA". It matches the Rfam family "Bacterial small subunit ribosomal RNA", at positions 1014 to 1382 of the family's 1533-position model. Lineage: Bacteria; Pseudomonadati; Thermodesulfobacteriota; Desulfobulbia; Desulfobulbales; Desulfobulbaceae. The record is from RNAcentral.
UUCCAUCUGGAAGAAUCUGGAGGACAGGUGCUGCAUGGCUGUCGUCAGCUCGUGUCGUGAGAUGUUGGGUUAAGUCCCGCAACGAGCGCAACCCUUGCCUUUAGUUGCCAGCAGUUCGGCUGGGCACUCUAAAGGGACUGCCGGUGUUAAACCGGAGGAAGGUGGGGAUGACGUCAAGUCCUCAUGGCCUUUAUGACCAGGGCUACACACGUACUACAAUGGCCGAUACAAAGGGCAGCGACACUGCGAGGUGAAGCCAAUCCCGUAAAAUCGGUCUCAGUCCGGAUUGGAGUCUGCAACUCGACUCCAUGAAGUUGGAAUCGCUAGUAAUCGUGGAUCAGCAUGCCACGGUGAAUACGUUCCCGGGCCUU